RNAcentral lists this long non-coding RNA (570 nucleotides) under Ricinus communis (castor bean). RNAcentral's name for it is "long non-coding RNA (RCOM_LNC003310)". Lineage: Eukaryota; Viridiplantae; Streptophyta; Magnoliopsida; Malpighiales; Euphorbiaceae. The record is from RNAcentral.
GGAGCAAUUAUAGAUAUAAGGGGCAAUAGGCAGCAAUCCAAAAUUGGGAGCCACAAAAUGGAAGGUGACAAUGGAACGUGCGGCUCUCACUUUCCAAUCUGUCUUGGGGAUGACUGAACCAUCAUCUGCACUAACAGUGUCACCUUUUUGAGCUUUCUGUUCCUUCCUCAAUUCUCCGACUAUGAUAUGAGACAAUAUGGGUAAAGCCAAAUUAUAUGCUUUUCUUUUCAUUUUUUUCCUCAAAAGCAAACACAUCCAUGUGGUUGCUAUGCAAUUAUUCUCCAUGGUAGCCUCGGGACACCUUCCAAAAUCUUCUGCUUUUAAUCUAUUGUAUCGCUCAGAAAUCUUGAUGAACACCAACUGUUUGCUGUGUCAGAUAAUGAGGAUGGCUAGUGGAAGCCAAAAAUUCUGCUUUCUAAUAAGAAUCAACAGGAUUGUAUCAUUAUAUUCUUAUUCAUACACAAAAUUUAUUGUAUAACUUUGUUUAAUAGAUUCAUGUAAGUUGUUUUUUUAUUUAGAUUUUAUUCAUUUUAAUUUUUUUAUUCUAUUAUUUUUAAGAUUAUCAUUUUU